GGAAGUAAAAGUCGUAACAUGGUCUCCGUAGGUGAACCUGCGGAGGGAUCAUUACAAAGUUCGUGCCCUCGCGGGUAGAUCUCCCACCCUGUGUUAUUGCUACCUUUGUUGCUUUUGCGGGCCACCCUCGGCUACCGUCCCCGGCUGGUACGCGCCCGCCAGAGGACCCCAAACCCUGAACGUCAGUGUCGUUUGAGUACUAUACAAUAGUUAAAACUUUCAACAACGGACCUCUUGGUUCUG
Molecule: unclassified non-coding RNA, 243 nt
Filed under: plant metagenome
Description: partial contains small subunit ribosomal RNA, internal transcribed spacer 1, and 5.8S ribosomal RNA
Rfam family: Eukaryotic small subunit ribosomal RNA (bases 1-54)
Source: RNAcentral